Otolemur garnettii (small-eared galago) is the source of this 128-nucleotide non-coding RNA. The record is from Rfam. Lineage: Eukaryota; Metazoa; Chordata; Mammalia; Primates; Galagidae.
CUAUAAAAGAUGUAACAGAUGCAAACUGUAACACAAGGGCCAUUAACCCUUUCCCUGCCAGGCACACUCGGUCCCCACGCCCCGCACCUAUUGUCUCCUGUGCUAGAAGCUUUGCAGAAAACCUGGAA